CUCUAGCCCUGAUAGAAGUGGAAAUCCUUUUUUGCCGGGGUUCGGCAGAAAAGAUUGCAACGGAUAGCAGGAUUAGCU
This is a small RNA of 78 nucleotides. It matches the Rfam family "Flavo-1 RNA".